Molecule: non-coding RNA, 96 nt
Organism: Mycena olivaceomarginata
Lineage: Eukaryota; Fungi; Basidiomycota; Agaricomycetes; Agaricales; Mycenaceae
Source: the annotation of a GenBank genome assembly
GCCCGCCUAGCUCAAUCGGAUAGAGCGUCAGACUCUUAUGACUUGACAACAGGCGGGGUUAUCUGAAGGCUGCGAGUUCGACCCUCGCGGUGGGCU